GCGUGCCACGGGGAAUGGGUGUAAACCCUAACCCUAGCUCAUUCUUGUCCCCUUCUCUUCCUGAUUCGGCGUCCGGCGAGCGAGCGAGCGAAUCGGCAGCGAUGUUGUGACGGCGGUCCGGCGAGGCAGCGCGCGCGUGCGGCAGCGAGCGCCGUAGCGGCUCCACCUCGGCUGGCUGGGGGGCGCACCCAAGGGCGGCGCCAAGCCGUGUGCUACGGCGUCGGCGGUCCGGCGAGGCGGCGCACUAGCGACGGCAAGCGUCUAUGCGGCCGGACCUCGUCAGCGGGGGUGCGGAGCCCGAAGGCAGCCGCCAAGCCGACGCUUCCCGUCCCCGGUGAGGGACGGUGGAGAGACAAGCUCCAAGGCGGCGCGCGCACGGCGGUCAACCGGCGCGGCCCCGAGGAGACCGGAGAGCUCCGGCAAGCUUAGGGGGUCUAAAUCCGCACCCAAUAUUUAGCGUCAAAGCCGGACGUAAAACUGGACAUCUAUACUGCAGCGUUCCAAAGUGUACUCUGUUUUGGUUUUGUUACUGAACCUGGCGUUGCCACCUCUCUCUGUUCUAAAUAAACAGUGACGAAAUAAUUACAUUCACAUAGGAUAUUACUGAUACAUUCCGGAAGGUGUAUAGUAGUAGUACUAUCUGCAACUGUGAUUAAGAUCAAGUGGUCAGAGGCUGCAUUAUAUAGUCCAUUUGGCAGAGUAACCAUUUCCCUCCA
Oryza sativa Japonica Group (Japanese rice) is the source of this 716-nucleotide long non-coding RNA. RefSeq lists it as uncharacterized. Lineage: Eukaryota; Viridiplantae; Streptophyta; Magnoliopsida; Poales; Poaceae. The record is from RefSeq and is a predicted model, not a curated record.